AGUGAACGCUGGCGGUAGGCCUAACACAUGCAAGUCGAACGGCAGCACAGUAAGCGCUUGCCCUUACGGGUGGCGAGUGGCGGACGGGUGAGGAAUACAUAGGCAUCUACUUUUUCGUGGGGGCUAACGUAGGGAAACUUACGCUAAUACCGCAUACGACAUACGCGUGAAACAAGAGGAUCUUCGGACCUUGCGCGAUUGAAUGAGCCGAUGUCGGAUUAGCUAGUUGGCUGGGUAAAGGCCCACCAAGGCGACGAUCCGUAGCUGGUCUGAGAGGAUGAUCAGCCACACUGGAACUGAGACACGGUCCAGACUCCUACGGGAGGCAGCAGUGGGGAAUAUUGGACAAUGGGCGCAAGCCUGAUCCAGCCAUACCGCGUGAGUGAAGAAGGCCUUCGGGUUGUAAAGCCCUUUUGUUGGGAAAGAAAAGCAGCAGGUUAAUACCCCGCUGUUCUGACGGUACCCAAAGAAUAAGCACCGGCUAACUUCGUG
Molecule: ribosomal RNA, 492 nt
Filed under: uncultured bacterium
Lineage: Bacteria
Description: partial 16S ribosomal RNA
Rfam family: Bacterial small subunit ribosomal RNA
Source: RNAcentral